This 76-nucleotide transfer RNA is filed under the name Phocaeicola vulgatus PC510. RNAcentral's name for it is "tRNA-Gly". It matches the Rfam family "tRNA". Rfam says of the family: Transfer RNA (tRNA) molecules are approximately 80 nucleotides in length. Their secondary structure includes four short double-helical elements and three loops (D, anti-codon, and T loops). Lineage: Bacteria; Pseudomonadati; Bacteroidota; Bacteroidia; Bacteroidales; Bacteroidaceae. The record is from RNAcentral.
GCGGAAAUAGCUCAGUUGGUAGAGCAUAACCUUGCCAAGGUUAGGGUCGCGAGUUCGAGUCUCGUUUUCCGCUCUC